CGGCGGACGGGUGAGUAAUGCCUAGGAAUCUGCCUGGUAGUGGGGGACAACGUUUCGAAAGGAACGCUAAUACCGCAUACGUCCUACGGGAGAAAGCAGGGGACCUUCGGGCCUUGCGCUAUCAGAUGAGCCUAGGUCGGAUUAGCUAGUUGGUGAGGUAAUGGCUCACCAAGGCGACGAUCCGUAACUGGUCUGAGAGGAUGAUCAGUCACACUGGAACUGAGACACGGUCCAGACUCCUACGGGAGGCAGCAGUGGGGAAUAUUGGACAAUGGGCGAAAGCCUGAUCCAGCCAUGCCGCGUGUGUGAAGAAGGUCUUCGGAUUGUAAAGCACUUUAAGUUGGGAGGAAGGGUUGUAGAUUAAUACUCUGCAAUUUUGACGUUACCGACAGAAUAAGCACCGGCUAACUCUGUGCCAGCAGCCGCGGUAAUACAGAGGGUGCAAGCGUUAAUCGGAAUUACUGGGCGUAAAGCGCGCGUAGGUGGUUUGUUAAGUUGGAUGUGAAAUCCCCGGGCUCAACCUGGGAACUGCAUCCAAAACUGGCAAGCUAGAGUAUGGUAGAGGGUGGUGGAAUUUCCUGUGUAGCGGUGAAAUGCGUAGAUAUAGGAAGGAACACCAGUGGCGAAGGCGACCACCUGGACUGAUACUGACACUGAGGUGCGAAAGCGUGGGGAGCAAACAGGAUUAGAUACC
RNAcentral lists this ribosomal RNA (694 nucleotides) under Pseudomonas sp. GA17-2. RNAcentral describes it as "bacterial SSU rRNA". It matches the Rfam family "Bacterial small subunit ribosomal RNA", at positions 96 to 786 of the family's 1533-position model. The record is from RNAcentral. Lineage: Bacteria; Pseudomonadati; Pseudomonadota; Gammaproteobacteria; Pseudomonadales; Pseudomonadaceae.